CAGUAGCCGCGGUAAAACGUAGGGUGCGAGCGUUAAUCGGAAUUACUGGGCGUAAAGCGUGCGCAGGCGGUUCGUUAAGACAGAUGUGAAAUCCCCGGGCUUAACCUGGGAACUGCAUUUGUGACUGGCGAGCUAGAGUAUGGCAGAGGGGGGUAGAAUUCCACGUGUAGCAGUGAAAUGCGUAGAGAUGUGGAGGAAUACCGAUGGCGAAGGCAGCCCCCUGGGCCAAUACUGACGCUCAUGCACGAAAGCGUGGGGAGCAAACAGGAUUAGAUACCCCAGUAGUCCCUGUCUCUUAUAA
Molecule: ribosomal RNA, 301 nt
Filed under: uncultured bacterium
Lineage: Bacteria
Description: partial 16S ribosomal RNA
Rfam family: Bacterial small subunit ribosomal RNA
Source: RNAcentral